UCUCCCACUGCCGAAAAUGACCUCUUAAUGCCCCCCACCCCUCCUUGGCUGUCUGUCGACAAUGGCGUGGAUGGCAGCUUACGUGGAGGCAAAGAGAUAGCGCGCGCUCGCCAUCGGGUUUUGAGGCCGACCGGUUUGAAACUUUAUCCAGGCUCUCGGGCACGGAUGCGCUCAACACGCCCUCAGUGAGCGAAGCCAUUCUCGUCGGGCGGGGGACAGUGAGCCUGCUGUCUUCUCUGGCAUUCGUGGACAUUGUAACACGGAGGAUGCCCGCGAGACUGGAGAGUAUGAGAAGGAAUUUCUUGACAGGUGAUUCGAGCGAAGAUGUCCGCUCAAUUUGGCGCGGGCACGUGUACAUCUCAAGGAGCAGGUGAAAGAACGCGAUGCCUGUCUGGGCAGCUGCCCGCGAGAAGAGGGAACAACACACACACACAAAAGUCCCCGCUCCACGAUCCGGCAGAACUGUCACGGACAGGGAAAGUGUCCCCUGAACCGACAUGAAACAAAAAGGAACGCACCCCCCCCCCGCCCCCCUUCCUUCUUUUUAUAUAGUCGGAGGCUAUGAUUCAAAGGACUCGAACGUCGUGUUAUAAGGGCUGUAAAUUCCGAGGCUAAAUAUCACGAACGUCCUCCGAUUUAACGGCGGUUUUUUUUUACAUUUCUUUGGGUCUUUCGGUAAAGUCACGCAGAUACGUUGAAAGAAAAUAACAAAA
This is a long non-coding RNA of Petromyzon marinus (sea lamprey), 713 nucleotides long. RefSeq lists it as uncharacterized. The record is from RefSeq and is a predicted model, not a curated record. NCBI's taxonomy places the organism in Eukaryota, Metazoa, Chordata, Hyperoartia, Petromyzontiformes, Petromyzontidae.